CUGGUAUAUAAAAUUACAACACCGUUUUCUUUGUAGUUUGAAGUUGUUUUACAUAUUAACAGACAACAUAGAUAACCAGCUUAUCAAAUGUGACAAAACUGCUCAGAAUUAAAAAAUAAAUAAAUAAGGAGAUAGUAUGCCUUUUCUGCUACAAGGCAACGUUAACAAUAAAUGCGUUUAUUUAUUUCCUGAAACCGGAAAGCAUUGAUGUAACACGAUAUGCUAUAGUGCUAUACAUGUGUGUUGUAUAAUACAUCUAUUAUGAAACGGAAUUUUGUGAGGUUGCAUUAAUUAAGUAUAGGAUAUUCGGAAGUACAUUAAACAUGUUUUGUAAAUGUUUUUCCAAGAAAUCUUUCAUUGCAGUUGUUACUACUGUCCUAGUCUUUUGUGGGGUGCUACAGUUUCAGGUUAUCUCACUAAGGCUUACCCGGCAUCGCUUUUCUUCAAAAGUGGUCAACUGGAUGCUGUAUGAUUCGACGAUCAGGGAUUUCAUUGGACGACUUAAUCACAUGAUCACACGGGAUACCGACGCGCCUCUACGUUUGUUUUCAGCGGUCUGCAGCA
Molecule: long non-coding RNA, 564 nt
Organism: Physella acuta
Lineage: Eukaryota; Metazoa; Mollusca; Gastropoda; Physidae
Source: RefSeq, a predicted model, not a curated record